Juglans regia (Persian walnut) is the source of this 1359-nucleotide RNA transcript. It is a transcript of the gene named DNA-directed RNA polymerase III subunit RPC8, with no coding region annotated. NCBI's taxonomy places the organism in Eukaryota, Viridiplantae, Streptophyta, Magnoliopsida, Fagales, Juglandaceae. The transcript is spliced from 8 exons. The record is from RefSeq and is a predicted model, not a curated record.
AAAUGAAACGCACGGUACCCAAAUUCUACGCUUAAUCGUCGAGUCCGCCAUCGCAUCUUCAUGAUCCCAGGCAAAAUUGGCUUGUCUAUGACCUCCUUCAAAGCUCUCCUUGCCAUUACCAUCCCUUCAUUUCCACCUUCCAGCCCUCGCUCCCACAGCAUAACCUUGGUCCUUCCUCCCACUGUCACCAUCUUAUAGACCUCACCACCCUCCCUUUCACUGCCUUCAGUUGCCUCGCCACUGCUGACAUUAAUCCCGUCCUAUCCUCGCAGCUGAACGUGACCUUUACCGCCCCCUUGUUUGUUCCCUUUUGUUGAGCGCCCGCACCCUUUCUUCUUUUCUUUCCCCUUCACUGUCCGCGACAAGUGCACUGUCAAUACCAUCCUAGCCGCAAUCUCUGUUCAAUCUGCCGCUAGAAAUCAGCCGCCACCAAGGUCCCAAUGUUCUACCUUAGCCGAAUCGAGCACACCUUUCGCGUACCGCCGAGUCUCCUUAGCCUUCCUAUCGAGGAAGCUGUCAAGGGAGAGCUUGAAAGACUUUUCUUGGAUAAGGUUAUCGCAAACUUGGGGCUUUGCGUCUCCGUCUACGAUAUCAAAUCUAUCGAAGGUGGCUUUAUCUUUCCCAGUGAUGGUGCCGCAACCUAUACGGUUGUCUUCAGACUCAUUAUGUUUCGUCCAUUCGUGGGAGAGGUUAUUGCUGCAAAGCUUAAAGAAUCUAAUGCUACAGGUUUACGCUGUAAUUGAGAUUUAGCAUAGUUAUGUCAUACUGAUGUUGACUCUAUACAUGGCAGUAUCACUUGGGUUUUUUGAUGACAUUUAUAUACCUGUCCAUCUUUUACCAAAUCCAUCCCGCUUCAAGCCUGACCCAAAUAAAAGGGACAAAGGCAUGUGGGAAUGGGAGUAUGGUGGAGAACCAUAUGUUAUUGACGGGAUUGAUGAGAUCAAGUUCCAAGUUCAUAAUGUAAGUUAUCCUCCAAUUCCCAUUGAGAAGCCAAAAGAAGCUAAGCCAUUUGCUCCGAUGGUGAUUACUGGAUCAAUUAAUGAUGACGGUUUGGGGCCCAUUUCAUGGUGGGUUGGUGCAGAACAGACUGACGAAUCUUAAGCCCUUGGGCUCUCUUGACAAAGCAAGCCAAACUGGCCGAGAAUGGCUGUAUUAUGAAGCGACGGUGGUUGUAGGAUGUUUUUGCUGAUUCUUUAGGAGCUGAAACAAACAUAACGUAAGAAAAUUAUAACUAUUGUUACUAUGCUUUGUGUAGCAAAUGGUAUCAUUUUGCCUUCCUUGAUUGCCCACGAAGGGUCAAACAUAAUGUAACUUUGAGUAAUGUUAUUCAUCAUCUCAAUUUCAAUCAUCCUUUCAUCA